This 403-nucleotide long non-coding RNA is filed under the name Nicotiana benthamiana. RNAcentral's name for it is "long non-coding RNA (NBEN_LNC026213)". The record is from RNAcentral. Lineage: Eukaryota; Viridiplantae; Streptophyta; Magnoliopsida; Solanales; Solanaceae.
ACGUUACUGUCCGAGUUCCUAUUGUUGUUUUCAUCUUGUUCGUGAUGCGACUCGCUCGAUUUUGGCUUAAAGGUCUUGUACGAUUUUCAAGAGUCGAAGAAAAUUUCAGAACUCCUUUUGAGGUCCCUCUCUCUUUAUUAUUUUCAUGUGUUAUGCUAAUUGCAUCAUGAUGGCUUAAUGUUCUCCAUUUAUAUAUGUUCAGUCAAAUUUCUCAUUUUAAUUAACUAUUGUGAAUAGAGCAUAAUUUAUGCUAAGUGAAUCAAUUCAUGAACUAUUGGUUUAAGUUGGAUUAAGGGGCAGUGGAUUGAUAAACUCUGGAAAAGAAAUGUUGGCCAAGAAUAGUGAAAUGGAUAUGGGAUCUAGAGUUGGAAGUUAAAAGUAGCAGAAUUGAGAUUUUAGUACU